Molecule: ribosomal RNA, 861 nt
Filed under: uncultured archaeon
Lineage: Archaea
Description: bacterial SSU rRNA
Rfam family: Archaeal small subunit ribosomal RNA
Source: RNAcentral
UUCCGGUUGAUCCUGCCGGACCCCACUGCUAUCGAGGUGGGACUUAGCCAUGCUAGUCGAACGAACAGAACUAUGUCUGUAAGUGGCAUACUGCUCAGUAACACGUAGCUAACCUACCCUUAGGACGUUGAUAACCCCGAGAAAUUGGGGCUAAUAGGCGAUAGGUGUGAUGUCCUGGAAUGGUAUCACGCCCAAAGGUAUCCCAUACAUGUUUGGUAUACGCCUAAGGAUGGGGCUGCGGCCGAUCAGGCAGUUGGUGAGGUAAUGGCUCACCAAACCUUUGACCGGUACGGGCCAUGAGAGUGGUAGCCCGGAGAUGGACACUGAGACAAGGGUCCAGGCCCUACGGGGCGCAGCAGGCGCGAAACCUCCUCAAUGCACUAACGUGCGAAGGGGUUACCUCGAGUGCCACCUGAAGAAGGUGGCUUUUCCUUGGUCUAAAAAGCCUCGGGAAUAAGAGGGGGGCAAGACUGGUGUCAGCCGCCGCGGUAACACCAGCCCCUCGAGUGGUGGGGAUGAUUAUUUGGCCUAAAGCGUCCGUAGCCGGCCGUGAAAGUCUUCCGUUAAAUCCAGCGUCUCAAGCGUUGGACCGCGGGAGAUACUACAUGGCUAGAGAGUGGGAGAGGUCAGCGGUAUUCUGGGGGUAGGGGCGAAAUCCUUUGAUCCCCGGAGGACCACCAGUGGCGAAGGCUGCUGACUAGAACACGUCUGACGGUCAGGGACGAAAGCUGGGGUAGCGAACCGGAUUAGAUACCCGGGUAGUCCCAGCCGUAAACGAUGCAUGCUAGGUGUUGGGUUGGCCACGAGCCACCCCAGUGCCGCAGGAAGCCGUUAAGCAUGCCGCCUGGGAAGUACGAUCGC